Molecule: ribosomal RNA, 826 nt
Filed under: gut metagenome
Description: bacterial SSU rRNA
Rfam family: Bacterial small subunit ribosomal RNA
Source: RNAcentral
AGAGUUUGAUCCUGGCUCAGGACGAACGCUGGCGGCACGCUUAACACAUGCAAGUCGAACGAGAGAAGAGAAGCUUGCUUUUCUGAUCUAGUGGCGGACGGGUGAGUAACACGUGAGCAAUCUGCCUUUCAGAGGGGGAUACCGAUUGGAAACGAUCGUUAAUACCGCAUAAUAUAAUUGAACCGCAUGAUUUGAUUAUCAAAGAUUUAUCGCUGAAAGAUGAGCUCGCGUCUGAUUAGCUAGUUGGUAAGGUAACGGCUUACCAAGGCGACGAUCAGUAGCCGGACUGAGAGGUUGAUCGGCCACAUUGGGACUGAGACACGGCCCAGACUCCUACGGGAGGCAGCAGUGGGGAAUAUUGCACAAUGGAGGAAACUCUGAUGCAGCGAUGCCGCGUGAGGGAAGAAGGUUUUAGGAUUGUAAACCUCUGUCUUCAGGGACGAAAAAUGACGGUACCUGAGGAGGAAGCUCCGGCUAACUACGUGCCAGCAGCCGCGGUAAUACGUAGGGAGCGAGCGUUGUCCGGAAUUACUGGGUGUAAAGGGAGCGUAGGCGGGAUCGCAAGUCAGAUGUGAAAACUAUGGGCUUAACCCAUAAACUGCAUUUGAAACUGUGGUUCUUGAGUGAAGUAGAGGUAAGCGGAAUUCCUAGUGUAGCGGUGAAAUGCGUAGAUAUUAGGAGGAACAUCAGUGGCGAAGGCGGCUUACUGGGCUUUAACUGACGCUGAGGCUCGAAAGCGUGGGGAGCAAACAGGAUUAGAUACCCUGGUAGUCCACGCCGUAAACGAUGAUUACUAGGUGUGGGGGGACUGACCCCUUCCGUGCCG